Molecule: long non-coding RNA, 1496 nt
Organism: Onychostoma macrolepis
Lineage: Eukaryota; Metazoa; Chordata; Actinopteri; Cypriniformes; Cyprinidae
Exons: 4
Source: RefSeq, a predicted model, not a curated record
GUCCGCAGACAGACGCUAUUGCGACACCAGCGCGGUCCGACUCCUUUGAUUCAAUAACAAUCACUCGUUAAAAAAGACGAAUCGAAUGAAUUCUAGCAAACAAAAUAGAAAUGUAACCCAUUCAAAUUUAAUUAGCUAAAAUUAUCGUGUACUGGAUACAGCUCAUCGGUUUUUCAUAUUAAAAAAUUACAUAUAGUUUUCCUAAAGAGACCGCGCCUGACAGUUAGGCCUAACGUUACUCAUCAACACUCAAUAUAUCCGGACCGAACGGUUUUUCUGACGCUAUUAUCAUCGCAAACCUCACAGAAACCAUCUAAAAACUAUACUCUUCGUGGCAUUUAAACAUCAAACAACACUAGAUUGAUCAUUAAAUAAAUUAAAUAACUUAAGUUACCUUUUAGCAGCUGAAGUACUCCUCUUGAGAACUGUGUCCGCCGAAAUCUCCUCAGGAUUAACCGCAGAUCUUUCUGUAGAAGAAGCGUCUGUCAGGAGAAGUGUUUAGAGUCGCGCGGCUCUGCUCCAUCAUCUCCUCACCGACGCCGAGACUGAGCCGACAGCGCCGCAGUUCAGCCGGCAGCUUGCUAUCUGUGUCCGCUGAAUGUAGAUGUAGUGCGGUUAACAAAGUAAUUGAUUGCAAUAGUCCGAAUGUGCGAAUAUAAAACCAACUCUCUUUUCUUUUCUCCGCUACAUCAUGUCGACUCAUGGACAUGUAGCGUCAAGAAAUGAAGAGUUUCAGCCCCGGAAGGAUUAUAUGGGUCUGGCGGGUAAAAUAAGAGAGAUGCAGCGGCCAGCGGAGCAGCCAAACGCGGCCGAUGAGAGCGAGGAGUCUCCGCACGGGACGCUGUCGACGGAUAAAACGCGGAACAAAGACCCGGAACGCGGCAAGAGCAUCAGCACCGGCCCAGUCGAGAAUAAAUUCUGCGGCUUUACCAACACAACGGAGAGACUCACACAACUUAAGAGACCGCGCCGGAGCCGUGAUUCACCCGAACACUGAAAACAACGAAAAUGGAGGAUUGUUUGCAAAAAUGCAUUUAGUAUUUACAACAUGAUUCAUUUAUGUUUCUCCUCUAAACAUAUUUUAGUCUUGUCAUCCAAUUAAUGUUGAAGGAUUAAUCAUGUGUAAUAAUUUAGUUAUGUUUUCUCUGGAAACUCCGCCCCCUUGGACCGCGCGAGGAACACUAAUUAACGGCUCUCCAGUCCGCCAUCUUCUCUCUCGCUGGAGCUGCGCAUCGGUGGAUUACAACAGUGUGAAACGGAACGCAGUCCUAGGACCGCAUUUCUAGGACCCUAGGUUUUUAGUGACAGCGCCACCGACCGAAUUAGAGGACCAGCGAAGAUGGAUGACAGUCAGGGUUGAAGUGGAAGAAUUGAACAGGGUGCUAGAGAAACAACUGAGAAAAGAGGAGUCCGUGAAGACGUCGUCCAUGAAGUUCUUUCUAUGUGGUUCACGUCAUGAACAAAUUUGUUUUUGUGUGUGUUCAAGUUCAACUGUU